This 1301-nucleotide ribosomal RNA is filed under the name metagenome. Its description in RNAcentral is "bacterial LSU rRNA". It matches the Rfam family "Bacterial large subunit ribosomal RNA", at positions 1633 to 2925 of the family's 2925-position model. The record is from RNAcentral.
CCUACACGACCGUACCGCAAACCGACACUGGUGCGCGAGAUGAGUAUUCUAAGGCGCUUGAGAGAACUCGGGAGAAGGAACUCGGCAAAUUGACACCGUAACUUCGGAAGAAGGUGUGCCUUUAGUAGGUGAAGGGAUUUACUCCUGGAGCCCAAUGAGGUUGCAAAAAAUCGGUGGCUGCGACUGUUUAUUAAAAACACAGCACUCUGCAAACACGAAAGUGGACGUAUAGGGUGUGACGCCUGCCCGGUGCUGGAAGAUUAAAUGAUGGGGUGCAAGCUCUUGAUUGAAGUCCCAGUAAACGGCGGCCGUAACAAUAACGGUCCUAAGGUAGCGAAAUUCCUUGUCGGGUAAGUUCCGACCUGCACGAAUGGCGUAACGAUGGCCACACUGUCUCCUCCCGAGACUCAGCGAAGUUGAAAUGUUUGUGAUGAUGCAAUCUCCCCGCGGAAAGACGGAAAGACCCCAUGAACCUUUACUGUAGCUUUGUAUUGGACUUUGAACAGAUCUGUGUAGGAUAGGUGGGAGGCUUUGAAGCGGUGCCGCUAGGUAUCGUGGAGCCAACGUUGAGAUACCACCCUGGUGUGUUUGAGGUUCUAACCUUGGUCCAUUAUCUGGAUCGGGGACAGUGCAUGGUAGGCAGUUUGACUGGGGCGGUCUCCUCCCAAAGCGUAACGGAGGAGUUCGAAGGUACGCUAGUUACGGUCGGACAUCGUGACGAUAGUGCAAUGGCAUAAGCGUGCUUAACUGCGAGACUGACAAGUCGAGCAGAUGCGAAAGCAGGACAUAGUGAUCCGGUGGUUCUGUAUGGAAGGGCCAUCGCUCAACGGAUAAAAGGUACUCUGGGGAUAACAGGCUGAUACCGCCCAAGAGUUCAUAUCGACGGCGGUGUUUGGCACCUCGAUGUCGGCUCAUCUCAUCCUGGGGCUGUAGCCGGUCCCAAGGGUAUGGCUGUUCGCCAUUUAAAGAGGUACGUGAGCUGGGUUUAAAACGUCGUGAGACAGUUUGGUCCCUAUCUUCCGUGGGCGCUGCAGAUUUGAGGAAGCCUGCUCCUAGUACGAGAGGACCGGAGUGGACACACCUCUGGUGUAUCGGUUGUCACGCCAGUGGCAUUGCCGAGUAGCUAAGUGUGGAAGAGAUAACCGCUGAAAGCAUCUAAGCGGGAAACUCGUUUCAAGAUGAGAUCUGCCGGGGCCUUGAGCCCCCUAAAGAGUCGUUCAAGACCAGGACGUUGAUAGGUCAGGUGUGGAAGCGCAGCAAUGCGUUAAGCUAACUGAUACUAAUUGCUCGUGCGGCUUGAC